RNAcentral lists this long non-coding RNA (431 nucleotides) under Callithrix jacchus (white-tufted-ear marmoset). RNAcentral's name for it is "lncRNA (ENSCJAG00000085730.1)". The record is from RNAcentral. Lineage: Eukaryota; Metazoa; Chordata; Mammalia; Primates; Cebidae.
CCUUUUGGUUGGAGAAACAUUAUUUCUGGAAUAUAUAUUGAUUACAUUCCAGAAUCCCUUACCAUCAUGGAAAGAAUUCAGUGUCCCUUCCCUGAUGGUAAAGGUAUAAUGUAAUCAACUUGCCCUCAAGUUCCUAUUUGAUUUCCUGAAGGGAUGGUGUUAUAUAGGUAGUGGUGUGCUAAAGCUGUCUUGAUUUGUUUCUUAUGAUUUACAUUUUGCAUUUCUUCACAGUAUUGCCUUCAAUGAUUUCAGGUUUUGGGGUACAUGUGAAGAACAUGCAAGAUUGCUGCAUAGGGAGAGAAAGUGAGGCAUUUAUUGCAGGACACCAACCAAGAAGAAUUGUGUAGUUCAUGCUGAGUACUCAAACUCCCUGAUGGCUUAGAGGUAAAGUUUUUUUGAAUUAUUUCUCACUUUUUAAAAUUUCCAUAUAU